GACAGAGGUGCCGAGCGUUAGGCGGAAUCACUGGGCUUAAAGCGUGUGUAGGCGGGCCGUUAAGUGUCUUGUGAAAUCCCCCGGCUCAACCGGGGAAUUGCUGGGCAUACUGGCGGUCUUGAGCAAUCUAGGGGCAGAAGGAACAAGUGGUGGAGCGGUGAAAUGCGUAGAUAUCACUUGGAACGCCAAAGGUGAAGACAGUCUGCUGGGGAUUUGCUGACGCUGAGACACGAAAGCCAGGGGAGCGAACGGG
Molecule: ribosomal RNA, 253 nt
Filed under: uncultured bacterium
Lineage: Bacteria
Description: partial 16S ribosomal RNA
Rfam family: Bacterial small subunit ribosomal RNA
Source: RNAcentral